GGUAAAGCUUUAUUUUAUAGACUUUCAACAUAAAAUCAAUCAUAAGUAUAGAAGGUCAGACAUUUCAGCAUAUGCACUCUUGUUGUGUUUUGGUAUGUUAUUUAUGAAGCAUGGACAAUAGGUCAACUAUACAUGAAUUUGGUGUCUUAAAUAAUCUUAAGUUGUAAUUGUCUGUUUGUCACAAUUUAUCUGACCUUGACUUCAUUGUCAUAGAUUUUUUGUUUCUGUUCUUUUAGUAAAAACUUUAUCUUUAAGACUUUCAACAUAAAAUCAAUUGUCUGAAAAGUAGGAGAGACAUUUUAGCAUGUGGACUCUUGUUGCUUAUAAAAAUCUGAAUUUACAGCAAUAUUUGUAUGCAUAAAAGACAAUAAUGGCUAUCAGAAAAUAUAUUUAUUGCAUCAAUAAACCUAAUAACACAGUGGAAAAUAACAUUUUCUAUUAAAGAAAUAGGUCAACAAAAAACAGCCCUCAAAAUUUUAUUUGCCAGCUAUUACUUUUCCUCACAGUUUUCUCUAAUUUUGUGUAAAGAGUUAAUGCGAUGCUAAUUAUUUUGCAGGCCAAAAUGAAAAUAAUGUCACAUCAUUGGUUGAACUUCCAUGACUUCAGCCUUUUUGAACCAUUCACAAUGUUUUGGUGUGCAAUUUGAAAAACAUUAUACCCAGAAUGCAAUAUAUUCUGAAUCGUCUAAUUUUAUUUUCUUAUGGAUGGAAAAUGUAAAUUUUGAGACUAGUUUGUUAAUUGACCAUUAUCACAGAUAUAGAAUACAACAAAAUACUUUAAAUAUGUAAAACAAAUAAUAUCUUAGGAUAAGGUAUUCUAAAUUCAGUAGAAGUGGGAGGUAACUCUUACAGACAAUUGAUUGGUUCAUCAAUUUUAAUGUAUGCUCAAACUAGCUACCGACAGAUUAAUCUAUUGACGUUUGAAUUUCCUCGGAUUCAACUUUUCCUGGUUCAAGAUAAUGAGUGCACACUAUAUACCGAUUGCUAUUUAUUAAACAGAUGAAACUAUGUAGAACAUAUACAAAAUAAUGUUGAAAAUACUUAAAUUAGCAUAAAAAACUUAAUAUUUUGUGCAAUUAUAAAAGAGAUGUAAAUUUCGAUUAGCAGAAAUUAAAAUACUGGCUGUGACACGAAUAUAUAUAACAGCAGAAAUUGUUAGUUGACUAUUUUUAACUGAAAUGAUAAAAAACAAAGCUAUAUUUUUCAGAAUUUUAAGUUUUGAUAGAAACAAGAAUUAGUGAAUCAAUUACGGAAUACUUAUAUGAUAGAAAUUUGAUUUAGGAUUAAUACCAGGCCUUGAAGGCAUAAAACUUUGCUCAGUGCUUGGAGCACAAAAAUCAUGCUCGAAAUGUGAAAUCCAGCAAUUUGAUUGGUUGAUUCUUGAGUCUGAGUACAAAAAUCGUGCUCGAAAGUUUUAUGACCGCAAGGCCUGGCUUAUAUUGUGGAAAAGCAAAUACAUUUUCUUUCAGUCAUUUAGCUUAUAUUCUUUGAAAUUCUUCUUGAAUCUAACAUAUAUAUUCUGUUCAUUGUUAAAAGAAAAGAAUAGAACUGAUUCUUGACAAAUAAAUAUAAAUGUACUUAUGAACGAAAAAAAACAAGGAAAAAACAAAUAUUUAUUUUAUUAUCAUUUAAUGAAAUGUAAGGGUAAAAAGUUUAAUCAUAACAUUUGUAAAUUUCUGUAUCAGUUAAUAUAGACAUAAACCUAUAAACAAAGACAAAAUAAACGAUAAAAAAUAAUGGGAAUGAUUUCUGGACGGAUUAUAAAAUAUCUGAAAUCUAGAGCACUAACAUCAACCUAUCACAGCCAUAUUUAUAAGGGGACGGACGCUUGUUCAUUGCAUGAAUUGUAUGUCCGGCAAAGUAGCCAUACAAAAUCAUGGAAUUUUAUGAAAAGAAAUGUGCUUAUAUACAAACAAUAAUGGUCAUAACACUUUGUUUUUGUUGACUUAUAUUUACCUAAAUAAAUCAAUCAUUUUUGUCGAGCCUUCGACUUUAGUCGAAAAAGCGAGACUAAGCGAUCCUACAUUCCGUCGGCGUCGGCGUCGUCGUCGUCGGCGGCGUCCACAAA
Molecule: long non-coding RNA, 2067 nt
Filed under: Mytilus galloprovincialis (Mediterranean mussel)
Lineage: Eukaryota; Metazoa; Mollusca; Bivalvia; Mytilida; Mytilidae
Source: RNAcentral